GAAGAUGUCAAGACGGUUGCUAACAUCUUCCCAAGGACAAAAGACUUAGUCCUAACCUUACCGUUAAUU
RNAcentral lists this transfer RNA (69 nucleotides) under Jynx ruficollis (rufous-necked wryneck). RNAcentral describes it as "tRNA-Phe". The record is from RNAcentral. Lineage: Eukaryota; Metazoa; Chordata; Aves; Piciformes; Picidae.